GCAGUAGCCGCGGUAAAACGGAGGGAGCUAGCGUUAUUCGGAAUUACUGGGCGUAAAGCGCACGUAGGCGGCUUUGUAAGUUAGAGGUGAAAGCCUGGAGCUCAACUCCAGAAUUGCCUUUAAGACUGCAUCGCUUGAAUCCAGGAGAGGUGAGUGGAAUUCCGAGUGUAGAGGUGAAAUUCGUAGAUAUUCGGAAGAACACCAGUGGCGAAGGCGGCUCACUGGACUGGUAUUGACGCUGAGGUGCGAAAGCGUGGGGAGCAAACAGGAUUAGAUACCCCCGUAGUCCCUGUCUCUUAUAC
This 302-nucleotide ribosomal RNA is filed under the name uncultured bacterium. RNAcentral's name for it is "partial 16S ribosomal RNA". It matches the Rfam family "Bacterial small subunit ribosomal RNA", at positions 508 to 807 of the family's 1533-position model. The record is from RNAcentral.